Molecule: long non-coding RNA, 1278 nt
Organism: Myotis brandtii (Brandt's bat)
Lineage: Eukaryota; Metazoa; Chordata; Mammalia; Chiroptera; Vespertilionidae
Exons: 2
Source: RefSeq, a predicted model, not a curated record
AGCAAUGACCUGCAAGGAGCACGCAGCUGUAACCCAGGUGCCCAAAGGGUCGGCUGGAUGCAAUGAUCCGGUGGCCCUCAGCCCAACCCCUGGGUGCCCAGACAGUGUUCUCCUGCCACGCCAAGCUGGGGGCGGGGGUUGGGGGUGGGGGGAGGCGUGUCCACGACGCCUCUGGAGCAUCCUGACCUAGAGUAGCGCCUUGAACUUGCAACACUGCGGAGACCUCCGCUCCCAGACGGGCAUGCCUCGGAGGGAAGAGUCAAGUGGGGCCGGCGGGAGGAGAUGCCGAGAGGCUCCAGGAAAACAUGAAACGGAAAAAGGCCCAGAAGGGAAGGACACGGAUGGUCAGACUCUCGGAGCAGUGCUUCAAUAGAGUGGGGUUUGGCUCCCGGAAGGCGGAAGGCAGGCGAGCCAACGCGCAAAGUGUGCCUGGGAGCCUGGAGAUUUCCCAACCCACGGGAGUUUCCCACCGUUGCAAGGCAGAGAAAGGGACGCAGUGGCCCGGCCUGCAGUGCCCUGCAGCAUAUUUUUUUCUAGUGCAAGAUGACAGCUGUCUAUUUGAAGACUUAUUUCAUGAUUAGUGUUUGCACUGAAGUGGGGCACCCUUCAGGAAAACUCUAACCCAGCUCAUCUGGAUCCCUGAGGCAUCCACGCUGGCAGCAGGAAGACAUUCCUUGUUAUCAAACUUAUGGGAAUAGAGGCUACCAUGGCCCAGACUUUGACCUUAACCCUUAAUUUCUAAACUGUGGAAGAAGUUUUACUUCCUCUUGUUUUCAGUAAGCAAGAGCAAAUAAUCCCAAACCAUGCCAUCCUUUCUGAGAAGCUCUGAAAUUGAAUGUCUGGGUAACCCUAACAAUCGGUGCAGCUAAUGCAGUUUAUAACCGGACUCCAUAAGUGGGGAGUGUGACCUGCUGGAAAUCUAACAGGAUUUCUGUAUUUUCUGUGGUCUUGUUGCUGCAGAAGCAGACUGCUUCAUUUCCUCCUCUAUCCCAGGUGAUGGACAGACUCUUCUACCCCUGCAUGAUGGAAUUUCAGCGGAGAAAUGCAUGAUGGUGGGGGGGGGGGGGGGGGGCUCUCACUGAGUUGAGAAUAGGAGAUAAAAACACCUCAAAUCCAUUUGGUUGAAUUCUACUGUCAUUUUCAUUAAUAUUUCAUUAAUCAAAUCAUUUACUUUAAUUGAGAGUUUGGUUACCAUUGUCCCAUAAAUAUUAAAUACUAUUAAUGUGGUGUUCACCUAAGUAGGAAUGGGAUAAAAUAAAAAUGCAACACAGAUAAGAA